Long non-coding RNA from Carcharodon carcharias (great white shark), 206 nucleotides. RefSeq lists it as uncharacterized. The record is from RefSeq and is a predicted model, not a curated record. NCBI's taxonomy places the organism in Eukaryota, Metazoa, Chordata, Chondrichthyes, Lamniformes, Lamnidae. The transcript is spliced from 2 exons.
AGCUAUAUGGCCAAGAGGAUGCUGUGAUGAUCCGUGACAAAGGGAAGGGCCCCUGAAGUACAAUAGACUACAACUGAAAACACUUCUUAUCAACAGUGACCAGCUGCAAGAGUGAAUAAAUUGAGCAGUUUUAAUAUGUCUGAGAAUUGGGAUAUGGCCUUCUUCCAGUUAUUGUGCAUUUUAAUAAACUAGCUGUUUUGAUUGAA